Molecule: non-coding RNA, 2203 nt
Organism: Callithrix jacchus (white-tufted-ear marmoset)
Lineage: Eukaryota; Metazoa; Chordata; Mammalia; Primates; Cebidae
Source: RefSeq, a predicted model, not a curated record
CAGAGGCCAAAGGUUGGCUCAUCCCUGCGCAGCACAGCACGGCCUUCCCUGCAGACCAGGGUUGGGGGAGGGCAGGGAACUGGCACCAGGCCUCAUCAUGGCUCCCUCAGCAGAUGCUGGUCUCCUUCUGUGACAGGAUAUUUGAGUCUUUCUCUCCCUAUCAAGGACAAAGGGGACAGACAUGAACUCAGAAAGACAAAGGCAGCCCCGGCAGGCACUAGUGGGGUGCAAACGCUGCCUGUCCAGCCACCCCCAACCCACGCAGCACCAGGACGAAACCCUGCUGUGGCCAGGGCUCUGGGCCUUUCCAGGCAGGGGGGUGUGAACUGCCCUGCGCUACGCCCAAGUGCAGCCACAUCCUGGGGUCCUGAGGGUCACAGGGUCGCAGCUUCAACAUGGGGACUUGUGGGGACAGUUUGGCCAGUACUGAUUGAAAGAGAAAAUCCCGAGACGCUGCCCCAGCACACCGUCUCCUCCAGCCUCCAGACUACGGCAUAUUGCAAGCCUGCGCCCUGCCCUGCCGCCUGCAGCUGGCACUCCUCAGCAUCAUGGGGAAGCAGGUGUGACCCCCCAGGCUGCAGGCUCCCCUGCUUCCAGUCUUUCCUUCGAAGGAGCCCACAGCCUCUCAGCGCCCAGGAGGCCUCAGCUCUUCGGGCACGUGGCCGGUGCAGGGUGGGAGCCCUGGCCUCCUGGAACAGCUCCUCACAGGCGCCUGCUCUGGAUGCUCUCAUGUCGGGAGCCCCCCAGAUGGUGCCAGGAGGGAAGCAGAAGCUGCUGUCUCUCUUCAAGUGCUGGGUCAUCUGGAGCAAGAAGAGGACUCCAGGUUGCCUCGCCCUCCAUGUUCCUGGAGAAGGCAGCAUGUGGGUGGAGUAUGUCUUCCCAACACUGCCUGAGUGGACGCCAUCUCCAGCCGGACUCCUCCGGCCCUUGGCAGUGUGGACCCACACGUUUCCUGAGGGCAUCAUGGGGCCAGACUGUCACCUGAGGCACCACAGUUGAGUAGCACUGUCAGAGCAGCACCGCCCGUCACCAGAGAUGUCACCUGUCACCAGGGCAGUGCCACCUGUCAGAGCAGUGCCACCCAUCACCAGAGGCGUCACCUGUCACCAGAGGCAUUACCUGUCAUUAUGGUGAUAACACCUGCCAGAGCAGUGCACCCAUAACCAGCCAUGUCACCUGUCACCAGAGCAGUGCCACCCAUCAUGAGAUGUCACCUGUCACCAGCCAUGUCACCUGUCAUCAGGGUGGUGCCACCUGCCAGAGCAGUGCCACCCGUCACCAGAGAUGUCAUCUGUCAACAGCGAUGCCACUUGGCAUCAGCAAUGUCAUUCUGCUCCCCAGACACCACCCUCCUCCCUGUAUCCCCCAACACCCCCAAUACCCACAUGUGCAAUUCCCAGUAGGCACUACUGGAAAACCAAGCCAGUCCUCAGAAAGAAUAAAACAUCUGUUUUAAUUGUCCAGUAAAAUACAUUUCAAAUCAUUAGUAUUUUAUAAACAGAAACAUUAAGUUAUAAAUCCAUGUUAAAAAUUGCAGCUCAGUGCAGCCCCAACAGCUGUGUGUCCAAAGUCUAUUUUUUUUAACAUUUUCCUCCACUAUUUUUGUGACAACAAAUAAAGUCUCUAUUCACCAUCUAGAUUAAGAGUCUGAACUACAGUAUUUUCACAGAAGAACAGGGAGAAGGUACAAGGACACACGGUGCUGUGUAUGUAAACGUGCCUCCCACACACCUGCCAUCUGCAUUCCAGGAAGACGCCUUUCGGAAAGGCCUCCUCGGCAGUGUGAGGUCUGGAGGGGUCUGCCUGGGCCCUGUUUUUAGGAGGCUCCCCUCCCAAUAAAAAAGCAGCCCCAGUACCUGCCCCGCACAGCAUCUGGGGGUUUGUAACACAGGUGCAACACUGGCCGUGGGCCCUGGAGGAACAUCUGCACCCCCGUAGCCCCUGUACCUGAAACUGAAUUUCUUCCCUUCUCUGAUUUUCUGGAGAACCUGCAGCUGCCCUUCCUGAGACAGGCUCCAUUCCCUUGCCUUUGUGCUCUGCAGCUUCUCUUUAGUGGGGAUAGGUUUUGACGUUCUGAGUUACUUUGUAUCAAAGAGCUAAUUAAAAAUGGUCCUUUAAAAACAUUAAGAAAAACAGCUCAAAAAAUGCACACUUCUAGUUUAAAAAUCUUCCCCAAACUUCCACAGGGGGUGGCAAAUGUUAA